Molecule: ribosomal RNA, 793 nt
Filed under: uncultured bacterium
Lineage: Bacteria
Description: bacterial SSU rRNA
Rfam family: Bacterial small subunit ribosomal RNA
Source: RNAcentral
AUUGAACGCUGGCGGCAUGCCUUACUCAUGCGCGUCCAACGGCAGCACGGAGCUUGCUCUGGUGGCGAGUGGCGAACGGGUGAGUAAUAUAUCGGAACGUACCCUGGAGUGGGGGAUAACGUAGCGAAAGUUACGCUAAUACCGCAUACGAUCUAAGGAUGAAAGUGGGGGAUUCGCAAGAACCUCAUGCUCCUGGAGCGGCCGAUAUCUGAUUAGCUAGUUGGUAGGGUAAAAGCCUACCAAGGCAUCGAUCAAAAGCUGGUCUGAGAGGACGACCAGCCACACUGGAACUGAGACACGGUCCACACUCCUACCGGAGGCAGCAGUGGGGAAUUUUGGACAAUGGGGGCAACCCUGAUCCAGCAAUGCCGCGUGAGUGAAGAAGGCCUUCGGGUUGUAAAGCUCUUUUGUCAGGGAAGAAACGGUGUGAGCUAAUAUCUCAUGCUAAUGACGGUACCUGAAGAAUAACCACCGGCUAACUACGUGCCAGCAGCCGCGGUAAUACGUAGGGUGCAAGCGUUAAUCGGAAUUACUGGGCGUAAAGCGUGCGCAGGCGGUUUUGUAAGACUGUCGUGAAAUCCCCGGGCUCAACCUGGGAAUGGCGAUGGUGACUGCAAGGCUAGAGUUUGGCAGAGGGGGGUAGAAUUCCACGUGUAGCAGUGAAAUGCGUAGAUAUGUGGAGGAACACCGAUGGCGAANGCAGCCCCCUGGGUCAAAACUGACGCUCAUGCACGAAAGCGUGGGGAGCAAACAGGAUUAUAUACCCUGGUAGUCCACGCCCUAAACGAUGUCU